GGCAGGUGGCUGUGCAGAAGAAAAGAAAAAAGGAGUCAGUGUUGUGAGGAGCUGCCCUGGGAACUCACAGAGAGAAGAGCUGUGCAAAUAAAGCCUGACAGGGCAAGCUGGAACCUCAGGUCUCCAUUGCCACACAUGCAUCAAUAAUCCAUCGCCCAAGUGAAAAAUGUCUCUCCCUCAUGUGGACCUCCUGUUCUCCUUCUCUUUCACUGGCCCCUUACUGGCAGAAGCUGUGCUAUUUCCAAGCAUCUCCGUUCACUGCCCAGCCCAAUUCGUGGCUGAAAAACAACGGUGAGAUUUAUACAGACUUUUUCACACCAUGCAUAUGAUAACUCAACAGGAUGGCAACUCCUCCCAUCUACCAGGCAGGAAAAUAUUGGUGACUCUUGCUCCCCAUAUCUGAUUCUCAGAGCCUGGGACCAGCAAUCCACUUCUCACAGGCAGCAAGUAAACUGUUUGUUAAUACAUUUCACGCUAAUUUCAGCCACUGAUCAGCACUAAUGCUGCAGAUUUGGCACCCUCCCACCCUCAGUAUGUUAAACAGUGUGUGCAUAUUUGAUUUCUUCCACUUUUAAAAACGAAGCAGGAUUCAGGCAUGAUUUAUUGAAAAGUUGGAAAGGAAAAGUGGACUUAAUUUUUUUAAAUUACUGUUAUCUGCCAUAGGGAUAGGCAGAACACAUGAGAAAAGGCAAGGCAUGGAAACAAAUCCCUGCCCCAAUCUCAGACAAAAGCGGGGUUCAACCAUUGUGCAGGCACAGCCACUGCCCUGAAGCCAUAGUUUCCCUUAUACUAUUACUAUAAUUGAUUGUAAAAUAUGUAGGGAGAAACCUCGUGGGAAAGAUGCUCAGAAACAAGAGUUACUGCCUGUAACUCUUAGGUAGAAUUUAUGACUACCCUUGGAAUAUUUAUACUGUCUUCAGGCAUCUCAUUCUUGACCAAGGCUGGUUAAAGAGAGAUGCUCUUGGUUCUGAGAGAAAAAAGGGGGCCAGGAUGUUUUAUUGGUUUUAUGCAAGGUAUUGGUGUGAAGCCAUCCACCAGAGGCCACUUCAGGGCAGGAAGGAGCACCCUGCUAUGGUACCUUGCUACUGUCAGGGAAGGGACUAACCCAAAAACACCUGGGAUCUCACUGUGGCUCUCACUGAUGCUGAGAAUGCAGAACCGUUCCCUUUCAGCCCACUCUGCUCGCAACUGCACAGCAAAAACUGAAACCUCCACACACAGCUCCUUCUUUUCUGUGUGUACUCCUAGCAUAAGCACACACCUACUUGCUGUUUAUUUAUGGAGCUUGCUGCCACAACAGGGCUCCCACAGCCAGGCAUCGCUUGCUCGGACCCUCUUUGAUAUCCAUAAGGAGCAGAACACGCAUCCAAAGCCAAGUGUUCCCUGCCCUGUCAUCACAGCCUUCAAAGCCCAAAGGAGGAGGAUGCCUGCUUUAACAGGCACAAAACACACAGUUGGAAGUAAACACUGCUCCUAAGCUUUCUGCAAGAAGCCUCCUCCACACAGAGCUCUACAUAAACUUCUCCAAGUCUCUCCCUACCAAAACUUCAUCAAGAAAUACAGCGCCCCUUCAAACUGCCUUUGUUUCUUGGCAAAACUGUCAGCACAAGAAGACAACCAAGCAGCCACUGUUAAUGAGGUUGGAUGGUCUUCCAGGAACCCCUUCCUCAAAGCCCUUCCUUCAACACACGUGGCACCUGCAGACAAUGAAUGCAGGGAAAACUCUUGGCUUUCUUCUCAGGGCACCUUUUCCCAUGUCCCAUGGGAGCCAAUACAGCACAUCAGCAACACUCCCUUGCCUGUCAGGAGUCCUCAUUCCCACCCACCAGAGCUCAGAGAAAGCACACAGGCCUAACAGACUAACAAACUCCUGAGGAUCAGCACUAACCCCAGCAUCCUGCAGCCUGGUCACACCUCCAGCCUUGCAACUGGCUACUUAAAAGCUCACCAUACACCAUCUGUUUGCCAGGGAUGGGACCUCCAGCCAGCCAGCACAGGCAACACACGGAGAUACUGUCCCAGGAACACAGGAAACGGAUCAGAAAUGAUGUCCAAGGACUAUGAGCACUUCUACACUGCACAACAUAUCAUCUGCUAUGUGGCCACACUAUCAUCUGCUGUUGUACACCCUGUCUGUAUUAAAAGUCUCACAAAAAAUUUCUGUCAUGGUCUGGCCCUGCCCUGGAGAGUCUGAAAACUCCAGCAGCUCUGCAGGAAGUGUUACAGGCAUAGCUGGGAGAAGAGAUCUCAGACUAAAGGAAAACACAAGAGCACAGAAGGCAGUAAAGCCACAGAUUGCUUAGAGGGCCAAGAUCCACUUCUGAUCCACCAACUUUAGUUCAAGUGUGAGGCCAGUCAGGAAGGUCAGCUAUGACAGUGAGGGACCCUAAGCACCAGUGCCGCACCAGUGUGUCACGGCGAACGGAUUCACUUUACAGAGAAACUGAGCUCCACAAUGCUCUCCCAAAUGCUUUCCAGCAGCAGCGUUUAAGCUUUGACGCAAACGCUGCCACGCUGGGCCGCUGCUCCCGGCAGCUCGGGCCGCCACUCACCUGCGCCCGCACCGCGCCGCUCCCCGGGCCUGCUUCCGCCCGGCCGCCGUCACU
Molecule: long non-coding RNA, 2606 nt
Organism: Zonotrichia leucophrys gambelii
Lineage: Eukaryota; Metazoa; Chordata; Aves; Passeriformes; Passerellidae
Exons: 3
Source: RefSeq, a predicted model, not a curated record